Molecule: ribosomal RNA, 468 nt
Filed under: uncultured bacterium
Lineage: Bacteria
Description: partial 16S ribosomal RNA
Rfam family: Bacterial small subunit ribosomal RNA
Source: RNAcentral
GACGAACGCUGGCGGCGUGCUUAACACAUGCAAGUCGAACGGAAAGGCCCUGCUUUUGUUGGGUGCUCGAGUGGCGAACGGGUGAGUAACACGUGAGUAACCUGCCCUUGACUUUGGGAUAACUUCAGGAAACUGGGGCUAAUACCGGAUAGGAGCUCCUGCUGCCUGGUGGGGGUUGGAAAGUUUCGGCGGUUGGGGAUGGACUCGCGGCUUAUCAGCUUGUUGGGGGGGUAGUGGCUUACCAAGUCUUUGACGGGUAGCCGGCCUGAGAGGGUGACCGGCCACAUUGGGACUGAGAUACGGCCCAGACUCCUACGGGAGGCAGCAGUGGGGAAUAUUGCACAAUGGGCGGAAGCCUGAGGCAGCAACGCCGCGUGCGGGAUGACGGCCUUCGGGUUGUAAACCGCUUUCGCCUGUGACGAAGCGUGAGUGACGGUAAUGGGUAAAGAAGCACCGGCUAACUACGUG